UCGGCGCGUCGUGGAGCCGAACGGGAGGCGGGCGGGACCUGAACCUGAACCGGCCGUCCACGGCGAGGACGGCCUGGUGAUCAAAGUGCAUCCUGGUUCUCACCACACUCACCUCGUCAUCCAGCUGACCUCUGAACCCGACUCAACAGGAUUCUCACAGACCAGAGGACAUCAGAGGACAGGACAUCAGGAGUUUUCUACAUUUCAUUGCCAAAUGAAGACACGUGAGGAGAAGCUGCUCUGAACCGUGGUCCUCACAUCUGAACUCACCGUGACCCCGAUGUUAAACAAUAAGAUUAUUUCUCAG
This is a long non-coding RNA of Salarias fasciatus (jewelled blenny), 307 nucleotides long. RefSeq lists it as uncharacterized. The record is from RefSeq and is a predicted model, not a curated record. NCBI's taxonomy places the organism in Eukaryota, Metazoa, Chordata, Actinopteri, Blenniiformes, Blenniidae. The transcript is spliced from 3 exons.